Molecule: ribosomal RNA, 253 nt
Filed under: uncultured bacterium
Lineage: Bacteria
Description: partial 16S ribosomal RNA
Rfam family: Bacterial small subunit ribosomal RNA
Source: RNAcentral
UACGAAGGGGGCUAGCGUUGCUCGGAAUUACUGGGCGUAAAGCGCACGCAGGCGGAUUGUUAAGUCGGGGGUGAAAUCCUGGAGCUCAACUCCAGAACUGCCUUCGAUACUGGCGAUCUAGAGUCCGGGAGAGGUGAGUGGAACUGCGAGUGUAGAGGUGAAAUUCGUAGAUAUUCGCAAGAACACCAGUGGCGAAGGCGGCUCACUGGCCCGGUACUGACGCUGAGGUGCGAAAGCGUGGGGAGCAAACAGG